CCUACGGGAGGCAGCAGUGAGGAAUAUUGGUCAAUGGCCGGAAGGCUGAACCAGCCAAGUCGCGUGAGGGACGACUGCCCUAUGGGUUGUAAACCUCUUUUAUAAGGGAAGAAAAAAUGCUACGUGUAGCAUUAUGCCUGUACCUUAUGAAUAAGCAUCGGCUAACUCCGUGCCAGCAGCCGCGGUAAUACGGAGGAUGCGAGCGUUUUCCGGAUUUAUUGGGUUUAAAGGGAGCGUAGGCGGUUUUUUAAGUUAGUGGUAAAACGUGGGGGCUAACCCUUGAAUUGCCAUUGAUACUGUCAGACUUGAGUUCAGUAGAGGUAGGCGGAAUACGUGGUGUAGCGGUGAAAUGCUUAGAUAUAACUAAGAACUCCGAUAGCGAAGGCAGCUUACCAGACUGCGACUGACGCUGAAGCACGAGAGCGUGGGUAGCGAACAGGAUUAGAUACCCCUGUAGUC
Molecule: ribosomal RNA, 459 nt
Filed under: uncultured bacterium
Lineage: Bacteria
Description: partial 16S ribosomal RNA
Rfam family: Bacterial small subunit ribosomal RNA
Source: RNAcentral